UACGUAGGGUGCGAGCGUUGUCCGGAAUUAUUGGGCGUAAAGAGCUCGUAGGCGGUCUGUCGCGUCUGCUGUGAAAUCCCGAGGCUCAACCUCGGGCUUGCAGUGGGUACGGGCAGGCUAGAGUGCGGUAGGGGAGAAUGGAACUCCUGGUGUAGCGGUGGAAUGCGCAGAUAUCUGGAGGAACACCGGUGGCGAAGGCGGCGUCCUGGACCAACACUGACACCGAUGAGCGAAAGCCAGGGGAGCAAACGGG
RNAcentral lists this ribosomal RNA (253 nucleotides) under uncultured bacterium. Its description in RNAcentral is "partial 16S ribosomal RNA". It matches the Rfam family "Bacterial small subunit ribosomal RNA", at positions 524 to 776 of the family's 1533-position model. The record is from RNAcentral.